Molecule: ribosomal RNA, 466 nt
Filed under: Corynebacterium sp. 'ARUP UnID 245'
Lineage: Bacteria; Bacillati; Actinomycetota; Actinomycetes; Mycobacteriales; Corynebacteriaceae
Description: bacterial SSU rRNA
Rfam family: Bacterial small subunit ribosomal RNA
Source: RNAcentral
GGAUGAACGCUGGCGGCGUGCUUAACACAUGCAAGUCGAACGGAAAGGCCMRWGCUUGCWYKGGUACUCGAGUGGCGAACGGGUGAGUAACACGUGGGUGAUCUGCCCCGCACUUCGGGAUAAGCCUGGGAAACUGGGUCUAAUACCGGAUAGGACCACUUCUUGGAGGUUGUGGUGGAAAGUUUUUUCGGUGUGGGAUGAGCUCGCGGCCUAUCAGCUUGUUGGUGGGGUAAUGGCCUACCAAGGCGUCGACGGGUAGCCGGCCUGAGAGGGUGUACGGCCACAUUGGGACUGAGAUACGGCCCAGACUCCUACGGGAGGCAGCAGUGGGGAAUAUUGCACAAUGGGCGCAAGCCUGAUGCAGCGACGCCGCGUGGGGGAUGACGGCCUUCGGGUUGUAAACUCCUUUCGCUAGGGACGAAGCGCAAGUGACGGUACCUAGAGAAGAAGCACCGGCUAACUACGU